UGAGUAACCUGCCCUUAACUCUGGGAUAAGCCUGGGAAACUGGGUCUAAUACCGGAUAUGACUCCUCAUCGCAUGGUGGGGGUGGAAAGCUUUUGUGGUUUUGGAUGGACUCGCGGCCUAUCAGCUUGUUGGUGAGGUAAUGGCUCACCAAGGCGACGACGGGUAGCCGGCCUGAGAGGGUGACCGGCCACACUGGGACUGAGACACGGCCCAGACUCCUACGGGAGGCAG
This 231-nucleotide ribosomal RNA is filed under the name uncultured bacterium. RNAcentral describes it as "partial 16S ribosomal RNA". It matches the Rfam family "Bacterial small subunit ribosomal RNA", at positions 118 to 351 of the family's 1533-position model. The record is from RNAcentral.